GAGAUAGCAGGUAAGUUGGCGGUUCUUAAAAACCGUGGCACGUCGUUCGGCCAGCGGAUGAUGUGCCAUAUGUUUCCCAUCCGGGCCUGCAGGCUAAAUGGAAAUCCCCAUUUGUAUGGAAUUCGUCGCUCCUGAAGUGCUCGGGUGAGAGGCCGCAGGGCCCUGCGGGCAUCUAGAGUGAUGGUAGAUAAGUCCUGGUAAAGGGAUAUUUGUGCUUCCAUGUAAGUGAUGUGCUGCUGUGCACGUGCUGCCCGCAUUAUAGAUUCUUUUAGCGGGAAUGACAGGAGGGCGCAAAUCAUGUCUCUUG
This is a non-coding RNA of Pelobates cultripes (western spadefoot toad), 307 nucleotides long. The record is from the annotation of a GenBank genome assembly. NCBI's taxonomy places the organism in Eukaryota, Metazoa, Chordata, Amphibia, Anura, Pelobatidae.